This 147-nucleotide small RNA is filed under the name Cronobacter sakazakii. RNAcentral's name for it is "Leucine operon leader". It matches the Rfam family "Leucine operon leader". From Rfam's summary of the family: At least 6 amino acid operons are known to be regulated by attenuation. In each a leader sequence of 150-200 bp is found upstream of the first gene in the operon. This leader sequence can assume two different secondary structures known as the terminator and the anti-terminator structure. Lineage: Bacteria; Pseudomonadati; Pseudomonadota; Gammaproteobacteria; Enterobacterales; Enterobacteriaceae. The record is from RNAcentral.
GAUUCAUGAUUCGCAUCGUUCGUUUCGCUGGUCUACUACUACUAAACGCAUCCUCAGUGCGCGGUAGACUGGUGCGCGACGUUCAGCGGUAACGCUUGAGUCAGGUCAUCAGAAAUAAAAAACCCGCGCCGCUGCGCGGGUUUUUUU